AACGAACGCUGGCGGCAUGCCUAACACAUGCAAGUCGAACGAGACCUUCGGGUCUAGUGGCGCACGGGUGCGUAACGCGUGGGAACCUGCCCUUAGGUUCGGACUAACUCCCCGAAAGGGGUGCUAAUACCGGAUAAUGUCUUCGGACCAAAGGUUUGUCGCCUUUGGAUGGGCCCGCGUUGGAUUAGCAAGUUGGUAGGGUAAAAGCCUACCAAGGCGACGAUCCAUAGCUGGUUUGAGAGGAUGCUCAGCCACACUGGGACUGAGACACGGCCCAGACUCCUACGGGAGGCAGCAGUGGGGAAUAUUGGACAAUGGGCGAAAGCCUGAUCCAGCAAUGCCGGGUGAGUGAUGAAGGCAUUAGGGUUGUAAAGCUCUUUUACCCGGGAUGAUAAUGACAGUACCGGGAGAAUAAGCGCCGGCUAACUCCGUG
Molecule: ribosomal RNA, 433 nt
Filed under: uncultured bacterium
Lineage: Bacteria
Description: partial 16S ribosomal RNA
Rfam family: Bacterial small subunit ribosomal RNA
Source: RNAcentral